This 224-nucleotide ribosomal RNA is filed under the name uncultured bacterium. RNAcentral's name for it is "partial 16S ribosomal RNA". It matches the Rfam family "Bacterial small subunit ribosomal RNA", at positions 107 to 334 of the family's 1533-position model. The record is from RNAcentral.
UGAGUAAUACAUCGGAACGUGUCUUCUAGUGGGGGAUAACUGCCCGAAAGGGCAGCUAAUACCGCAUGAGACCUGAGGGUGAAAGCGGGGGAUCGCAAGACCUCGCGCUGGAAGAGCGGCCGAUGUCCGAUUAGCUAGUUGGUGAGGUAAAGGCUCACCAAGGCGACGAUCGGUAGCUGGUCUGAGAGGACGACCAGCCACACUGGGACUGAGACACGGCCCAA